UCCAGAACGUAUUGACAAAGCUGGGAAAAGAAAAAGGCUGUGAAAUUAUAAACAAAUGGAAAAAAGCAUGUGUAAAACAUUUUUACUGGUCAGUAACUUCAACUCCAGUAAAAACGGGAGCAGUUGUUGUAGUUUCAUGCAUUCCUAUUCCAUGUAAUCAACGAACACACCAAUCUACCAAAUAACCUGAUUAACAAGUGCAAUCAUGAAAAAUACAACAAACCACCAGUAUGGAUGAACAAACGACAUUACUGGCAGCUCUCCACUUUAACCAAAACUUGAGAAGAUAGAGCAAAAUUGAUAAUCAUGGUAAUCCUAAACUCCGAAUAGUCUACCCGAAGUUCAAAGAUGGACAGGCCACGGUCAGAGAAGUGAAGGUGUUACCCAAUUAUGAUUAUGUCAGCGAAUUAUUUGGAAAACUGAUGUCCAUCUCUCGACAAGAACUCAAAACUAUAGAGAAAGAGCUAGAUGAUGAUACCCCUGAACCCAUGCAUACUAUGUUGGAUAAACAAGAUGAGAAAGAUGCCAUUCUCAAGUACAAAUAGAGAAAGAACAAAGAAAUCCCCAUCUGUCCACCAACAUGCACAGAUGAAGAACUUGAACAGUUAACAAGACCAAGGAACAAUACAACAAACUCUACAUCUUCAAGAAAGGCUCCAUGCUGCAGAAAUUGUGGGCAACCUACUAAAGGCCAUCCCAAGAAAAAGAAUGCAAUUUUCCAGUGUCCCACACUGAGUUAACCUGGAGUAAUUUCAGUGUUUGUUCUUAUUUUUUAUGGUCAAGCUAAUAUUGGGGUAUUAGGUAGUCCCCUGUGACUCUUUGGUUUUUAUUACUAGUAAUUAUGGAUUAUUUAAAAUGAAGAUUUAUAAAGUCAGGGCCGCAGCAACCUGUAUGGUUGGUGCGGUUAUAACUGGGCCGUGUUCACAACUACAACUACUUUCCCUCUUAAGGAAAAUAUUUAUUAUCCGAGAAAACUGGACCGAUUUAUAAGAAACCGGACCAAUCAAAAGGUUGUGGCUACAGCCCUGAACGUGCAGCAAAUGUAUCGAGAAUACAUGCUAGUAGUAGUUAUUAUUAUAAAAAUAUAGAUAUAAAUAUAAAUAAAUAUUAGAAUGAAAAUAUGAC
Molecule: long non-coding RNA, 1125 nt
Filed under: Actinia tenebrosa (Australian red waratah sea anemone)
Lineage: Eukaryota; Metazoa; Cnidaria; Anthozoa; Actiniaria; Actiniidae
Description: uncharacterized LOC116287991, transcript variant X1
Source: RNAcentral